This 27-nucleotide non-coding RNA is filed under the name Mus musculus (house mouse). Lineage: Eukaryota; Metazoa; Chordata; Mammalia; Rodentia; Muridae. The record is from RNAcentral.
UAGAUGAGGAAAAUUACUCAUGCGCAU